Molecule: long non-coding RNA, 991 nt
Organism: Salmo salar (Atlantic salmon)
Lineage: Eukaryota; Metazoa; Chordata; Actinopteri; Salmoniformes; Salmonidae
Source: RefSeq, a predicted model, not a curated record
UACUUCAUAAUUGUUUUACCAAAUAACGUUAUGAUGAUGUUGGCACAAAAUGUACUGUAUUUUGGACUAUAAAACACGUUUGGUGACCAGGAUCUUGCAUUUGGUGCUCGAUCAAUACAUUUCAGUACAGUAGGUUCAUCAUAUUACUUAAAUCCACACAAGUGCAAUAUAUUUGGAUUAAUCAAUUUUCAAAUGUCAAGACCAUGGUAGAAGACAAUGAUUCCAGCACAAUGAAGAUAUUGGAUAUUGAUGACGGCACGUAUAGCAUGACCAGAACAAGAGAUGGCGUUAAAUAUUCAGAUGAGCAUCCACAUUCCUGCUGCGUUUUGGUCCUCCAUUCCAGACGACAACCGUGACAGAUGAAGUGAAAAUCUGGAGGACCGUACCCGACCCUAACCCACUAAUAUAAAAAAUGCAUCAUAGGCUAUAGUCAGAGACAGCAGAAAGAUUUUUUGACAUGAUUUAGAAAUGUUUCUGCUUUUAAUUUCCAGACAUUUUGGUAGGCUAAUUGUUAGUCAACUUGUCUAUAAUUAGAUGCAUGCAGCUUCUCUUCUGUCAUUAUACUGUAUGUUGCCCUAGAACAGGGCUUCCCAAACUUGGUCCUGUGGCCCCGUUGGGUGCACGUUUUGAUUUUUGCCCUAGCACUACACAGCUGAUUCAAAUAAUCAAAGCUUGAUGGUGAGUUGGUUAUUUCAAUCAGCUGUAUAGUGCUAGGGCAAACACCAAAAGGUGCACCCAGGGGGGCCCCAGGACUGAGUUUGAGAAAUCCUGUUCUAGGAGACUAAAUAAACCCUUGCUCACCAGAGUAAUGUCAUACAUCUAUAGAAUUAAUGCUUCAAUCUUGUUGAGAUUGAUCAAGUUCUCUCUGUCAAACGUUUAGGGACCGGGGAGAAAAUGCAAUAAUCAAAAAGAAGUGAAAGAUUUUCUGUGCAGAAGUUCCAAAUGGCAUCAGUUUGACUGGUUGUAAGGAAAUAAAAAACUGUGAAAAUGA